Long non-coding RNA from Anser brachyrhynchus (Pink-footed goose), 979 nucleotides. The record is from Ensembl. NCBI's taxonomy places the organism in Eukaryota, Metazoa, Chordata, Aves, Anseriformes, Anatidae.
GGAUAAGAAUGUGCCUGGGGCCAGCAGGGAGGUAGGUGUGUGUAUGUUACUGGAGAAGCUGCAUGAGUCUUGUAUCUGGCAAUACAAUGAAUUUGCUUGUUUUAGUGUCUUUCCCCCUGUUCCUUACUGUAAGCAAUCAGAUGAAACCUUGUCAAUGCUGUAAGAAAUUUGUCCCACAGUAAUGAGAGGGUCCCGUUCUCCCAGCUAGCAUCCGAGGGCAAAGUGCCAACCUCUGAUCCGCACCACGCGUCGCUUCGUGGCUCUCUGCUGUGCGCUCAGGCUGAGCUGCUGCCAUUGAUGUCUGUGCAAGGAGUAAGGGCAGACUGUGCAACUGGGAGACUUUUUGCCCUACAACUGAAGCCCUUCUGCAUGCUCUGUGCAAUGGUCAGUGACUUGGAGGGUGCUCAGAAGCCUGAUAACAUUGCUGCUUUUGCCUUCAUGAACCUCAUGGGGAUGAGGCAAGUGGAUAUUUGCCCUGCCAUGGCAGAAAGUGGGCUCUGGCAAGGUCUACUCUGUACAGAGAUCUUUGGAGACAGCACUGGGAGCCAGACUGGGAAUAGAAACUAAGGGCACAAUUUUUCUUGCAGUGGAAAGCGGAUCCAGAACGGAGCAGCAGAAGAGAAGAGGCAGAAAAUAUGCGACCGCUUUCAGUGUGGAGAUCCAGUCCCCCCAGAGUGAUGGUAUCUGCAACAGAGGGUGAUUUUCUCUCAGAAAUUCUUGAGAUUUUGCAGCAGUUUCAGUGAGAGUUAUCUGCCAGAUUGUAAGGUUUAUUUUACACUAUAAAGUUCAUCUGAGAAAUGAAAAAUAACACGGAUUUACUUUCACUUCAUUUUUCCUUUUCAUCCUCUUCUCAGCCAAGCAUGAACCUCUGCCUCUCUUUGUUUCUCACAAAAGGGUUGGAGCUGGUUUCCAGCAAUUAUUCUGAAGCAAAGCAGAUCAGCAUAGCAAAGUUAAAGCAAUAAAAAUAACAGUACAGACA